UGUGGGAGCUGGCUUGCCUGCGAUAGCGGUGUAUCAGCUGACAUUUCAGGCACUGACCCUCCGCCAUCGCAGGCAAGCCAGCUCCCGCA
Molecule: unclassified non-coding RNA, 89 nt
Filed under: Pseudomonas yamanorum
Lineage: Bacteria; Pseudomonadati; Pseudomonadota; Gammaproteobacteria; Pseudomonadales; Pseudomonadaceae
Source: RNAcentral